GGUUCAGGAUGAACGCUAGCGACAGGCCUAACACAUGCAAGUCGAGGGGCAGCACAAGGAGCAAUCUGAGGUGGCGACCGGCGCACGGGUGAGUAACACGUAUGCAACCUGCCUGUAAGCGGGGAAUAACCCGUUGAAAGACGGACUAAUACCGCAUAAUACUAAAUUACUGCAUGGUAAUUUAUUUAAACAUUUAUGGCUUACAGAUGGGCAUGCGCAUGAUUAGCUAGUUGGAGAGGUAACGGCUCCCCAAGGCAACGAUCAUUAGGGGUUCUGAGAGGAAGGUCCCCCACACUGGUACUGAGACACGGACCAGACUCCUACGGGAGGCAGCAGUGAGGAAUAUUGGUCAAUGGACGAGAGUCUGAACCAGCCAAGUCGCGUGCAGGAAGAAUGUUCCCUAUGGAUUGUAAACUGCUUUUGCAGGGGAAUAAAGUGCAUCACGUGUGAUGUUUUGUAUGUACUCUGCGAAUAAGGAUCGGCUAACUCCGUGCCAGCCGCCGC
This 504-nucleotide ribosomal RNA is filed under the name uncultured bacterium. RNAcentral describes it as "bacterial SSU rRNA". It matches the Rfam family "Bacterial small subunit ribosomal RNA", at positions 21 to 518 of the family's 1533-position model. The record is from RNAcentral.